This 484-nucleotide ribosomal RNA is filed under the name uncultured bacterium. RNAcentral's name for it is "partial 16S ribosomal RNA". It matches the Rfam family "Bacterial small subunit ribosomal RNA", at positions 30 to 507 of the family's 1533-position model. The record is from RNAcentral.
AUCGAACGCUGGCGGCAGGCCUAACACAUGCAAGUCGAGCGGAUGAAGCGAGCUUGCUUCUGGAUUCAGCGGCGGACGGGUGUGUAAUGCCCAUGAAUCUGCCUGGUAGUGCUGGAUAACGUCCGCAAACGGGCGCUAAUACUGCCUACGACCUGCUGGUGCUUGUUGGUGAUCUUCGGACCUCUCGCUCUGUGAUGAGCCUAGGUGGGAUUGGCUAGUUGGUGGGGUAACGGGCUACCAAGGCGACGAUCGGUAACUGGUCUGAGAGGAUGAUAAGUCACACGGGAACGGAGACAGGGUCCAGACUACUACGGUAGGACGCAGAGGGGAAUAUUGGGCAAUGGGGGAAAGCCUGAUACAGCCAGGGCGCGUGUGUGAAGAAAGUCUUCGGAUUGGGAAGAAGGUUAAGUGGGGGGGAAGGGCAGUAAGUUAAUACGUAGCGGUAUUGACGUUACCAGGAGAAUAAGCACCGGCUAACUACGUG